Dendronephthya gigantea is the source of this 424-nucleotide long non-coding RNA. RefSeq lists it as uncharacterized. Lineage: Eukaryota; Metazoa; Cnidaria; Anthozoa; Malacalcyonacea; Nephtheidae. The record is from RefSeq and is a predicted model, not a curated record. The transcript has 4 exons.
AGGUUACUUAUUCUACGCUGAGUCUCGAAUGUGGACGCUUGCAAGAAAGCAAAGGUUUAUGCUACAAUUCUAUUCGCAUUGCGAGACAAAAAAUUCUAUCUUUAUUCUACCUCGAUCAAAGCUAUAUCAACGCGCAUGAUAGUUAAAGUUGGCGCGUCUGCAAACCAAACACCGGUUUAACGACAUGUCUUCAAGACUUGUUUGCUUCGCUCUUUGGUUUUGCUUUGUGAUAACAAAAAGCGAAAACUUCAAAGUUAACGUUCAACUGGAUUGUCAUAAAACGUUUCACAAGCUUUCUAGCAUGAAUCACGAUGUCACCCCAACAGGAGUUGUGAUCUCUCUAGCUAAUGCCGGAGUUCCCAGUGAUGCAGUUGACGUCGUGGUUUUUGCGAAAGUUUAUUCGGGUCAAACACCAACGACAGGG